GUCUAUGGCCAUACCACCCUGAACACACCUGAUAUCGUAAGCUAAGCAGGGUUGGGCCUGGUUAGUACUUGGAUGGGAGACCGCCUGGGAAUACUGGGUGCUGUAGGUG
Erinaceus europaeus (western European hedgehog) is the source of this 109-nucleotide ribosomal RNA. Lineage: Eukaryota; Metazoa; Chordata; Mammalia; Eulipotyphla; Erinaceidae. The record is from Ensembl.